Molecule: ribosomal RNA, 468 nt
Filed under: uncultured bacterium
Lineage: Bacteria
Description: partial 16S ribosomal RNA
Rfam family: Bacterial small subunit ribosomal RNA
Source: RNAcentral
GACGAACGCUGGCGGCGUGCUUAACACAUGCAAGUCGAACGGAAAGGCCCUGCUUUUGUGGUGUGCUCGAGUGGCGAACGGGUGCGUAACACGUGAGUAACCUGCCCUUGACUUUCGGAUAACUUCAGGAAACUGGGGCUACUACCGUAUAGGAGCUCCUGCUGCAUGGUGGGGGUUGGAAAGUUUCGGCUGUUGGGGAAGGACUCGCGGCUUAUCAGCUUGUUGGUGGGGUAGUGGCUUACCAAGGCUUUGACGGGUCGCCGGCCUGAGAGGGUGACCGGCCACAUUGGGACUGAGAUACGGCCCAGACGCCAACGGGAGGCAGCAGGGGGGAAUAUGGCACAAUGGGCGGAAGCCCGAGGCAGCAGCGCCGCGUGCGGGAUGACGGCCUUCGGGUUGUAAACCGCUGUCGCCUGUGACGAAGCGUGAGUGACGGUAAUGGGUAAAGAAGCACCGGCUAACUACGUG